UGGCCAGACUCCUACGGGAGGCAGCAGUGGGGGAUAUUGCACAAUGGGGGAAACCCUGAUGCAGCGACGCCGCGUGAGUGAAGAAGCAAUUCGUUACGUAAAGCUCUAUCAGCAGGGAAGAAAAUGACGGUACCUGACUAAGAAGCCCCGGCUAACUACGUGCCAGCAGCCGCGGUAAUACGUAGGGGGCAAGCGUUAUCCGGAUUUACUGGGUGUAAAGGGAGCGCAGGCGGCGCGUUAAGCCUGGUGUGAAAGCCCGCGGCCCAACCGCGGGACUGCAUUGGGAACUGGCGCGCUGGAGUGCCGGAGGGGUAGGCGGAAUUCCUAGUGUAGCGGUGAAAUGCGUAGAUAUUAGGAGGAACACCAGUGGCGAAGGCGGCCUACUGGACGGUGACUGACGCUGAGGCUCGAAAGCGUGGGGAGCAAACAGGAUUAGAUACCCCAGUAAUG
RNAcentral lists this ribosomal RNA (450 nucleotides) under uncultured bacterium. RNAcentral's name for it is "bacterial SSU rRNA". It matches the Rfam family "Bacterial small subunit ribosomal RNA", at positions 328 to 795 of the family's 1533-position model. The record is from RNAcentral.